RNAcentral lists this long non-coding RNA (1256 nucleotides) under Heterocephalus glaber (naked mole-rat). RNAcentral describes it as "lncRNA (ENSHGLG00100036285.1)". Lineage: Eukaryota; Metazoa; Chordata; Mammalia; Rodentia; Bathyergidae. The record is from RNAcentral.
CCCCCCCGCCCGCAUUGCUAGGUGUUAAACUCCAACUCAGGUUUUAUCCCUCUCAAAAUAUGGAGACCAACUAAAUGUUCAAUGGCAAAACCCUUUGAACAUGAUUUUAACAGAUAAAGGAACAAAUAUUUGGAGAAGAAAAGAUGAGCUAUCAUGUCUAACAAUGACAUAUUAGAGAUUAUUUGUAAGUCCAUUCAUCUUCCUCUUUCUCUUAUUGUUCUCUUGCUCAGGUUUCUUUUGCUGGCCACCAUGGACAUCUGGGGCUGAGUUAUUCUUACUGUGAGAAGCUAUCUUGUGCAUUUUCAGAUGUAGCAGCAUACCUAUUUUAGCUUCACCCAAUAAAAAAUCAACUGCGACCUUCAUCCCCAGUUAUGACAAUUCAAAAAUAUCUCAACAUGGUCCUUAGGAAAUGAGCCAAACCACAUUCCCUCUUGACAAUGUAUUUGGUUAAAUUCCAAACCAAACCAACCAAACCAAGCAAGCCAAAGCAAAGCAAAGCAAGCAAAGCUUCCACACACAGGGAAGCAAAAUUAGUUAGUAGCUGUUGGGAAAGCAAAGCCAUAAAGGAAGCUUGUCCUCAUGCUCAUGCAAGUAUCUGACAGUUUCCUUGGGAUGCAGCAUGAUCUUUCAAACUGGAAAUGCUGGCUGUAGUGACACAUACCUGUAAUCCUAGCAUCCUGGGAGGCUGAAGCAGGAGGAACCAAUGCUUGAGUCUAGCCUGGAUAACUUAGUGAGACCCUGUCUCAAAACAAAACACAAAUGUGUUGGUGAAAUAGCUGAGUAUGAAGGCCUUGAGUUCACUCCAUAAGGCUGCAAGAAAAUUAAAUUUAAAAAAACUAGAUUUGUCCUCAAUGCCCAUUUGCUUGAUUUCAGUGAAAACGGGAACUUUUGGUGGAGAUCCACUGUUUCCAAAACCUUGAAGGAACAAAGGUUGCCACUCGCCAGCACCUGGGGAGUCAAUAUGCGUCUAUCAGUAAAUCAUUGAACAUAAAAUACUGCUCAAUUUGUCAAAUGGCUGGCUGCUGACUAGUGAGUCACAUGGAAGAACAAAUAAAGGAAGUAUGUCCUUUUUCCAUCAAUAUAUAAAUGGAUAUAAAGAUAUAAUACAAGCUCAGAAUCACGACUCAUUAACUAAUGAAGGCACAGCAUCACUUAGAUUCUAAAAAAAAAAAAUACUGUUUUGGGUCAAAUUUGGGAUGUUACCAGAGUAAGAGGAUGUAGUUAGAUGAUGUGAAAUGUUAUUUCCUGGCCUACAC